RNAcentral lists this ribosomal RNA (634 nucleotides) under SAR202 cluster bacterium. RNAcentral describes it as "bacterial SSU rRNA". It matches the Rfam family "Bacterial small subunit ribosomal RNA", at positions 1 to 651 of the family's 1533-position model. Lineage: Bacteria; Bacillati; Chloroflexota; Dehalococcoidia. The record is from RNAcentral.
UUUACAUAGAGUUUGAUCCUGGCUCAGGACGAACGCUGGCGGUGCGCCUAAUGCAUGCAAGUCGAACGGGCGAAGGGGCUUCGGCCCCCUAGCUAGUGGCAGACGGCUGAGUAACACGUAAGUGACCUACCCCGAAGCGGGGGAUAAACUCGAGAAAUCGGGUCUAAUACCCCGUAAGUUCUUCGCACUUCGAUGCGAAGUAGAAAGGUUUCGACCGCUUUGGGAGGGGCUUGCGGCCUAUCAGGUAGUUGGUGGGGUAAUGGCCUACCAAGCCUCAGACGGGUAACCGGUGUGAGAGCACGAUCGGUCAGAGGGGGACUGAGACACGGCCCCCACUCCUACGGGAGGCAGCAGCAGGGAAUCUUGCGCAAUGGGCGAAAGCCUGACGCAGCGACACCGCGUGGGGGAAGAAUGCUUUCGAGUUGUAAACCCCUUUUCCCGGGGAAGAGAACGGACGGUACCCGGGGAAUAAGGUUCGGCUAACUACGUGCCAGCAGCCGCGGUAAUACGUAGGAACCGAGCGUUGUCCGGAUUUACUGGGCGUAAAGUGCGCGUAGGCGGUCUGUUAAGUCUCAUGUGAAAUCUCCCGGCUCAACUGGGAGGGGUCAUGGGAAACUGGCAGGCUUGAGGGCAG